RNAcentral lists this long non-coding RNA (258 nucleotides) under Pan troglodytes (chimpanzee). RNAcentral's name for it is "long non-coding RNA NONPTRT014042". Lineage: Eukaryota; Metazoa; Chordata; Mammalia; Primates; Hominidae. The record is from RNAcentral.
AGUUCCUCAUAAUAGAAAACCCAUCUAGAACACUUAUUUUCUUCCAGAUUUUGUCUGGGUUUGACAGGAAGAAAUAGGGCAAAAGCCAUUUGAGGUGGACAAAAUAGUAUAUAAAAAAUAAAGUUUGAUUUUUAUUAACACAAUGGUGAAAAGAGAGAACUUCCAGGUAGUUCCAUCUGUUUUUUUUAAAUUUAUUUUUUAUUUUUUAUUGCUUUUUGAGAUGGAGUUUCAUUCUUGUUGCCCAGGCUGGAGUGCAAU